RNAcentral lists this ribosomal RNA (571 nucleotides) under Enterobacterales bacterium. Its description in RNAcentral is "bacterial SSU rRNA". It matches the Rfam family "Bacterial small subunit ribosomal RNA", at positions 832 to 1402 of the family's 1533-position model. The record is from RNAcentral. Lineage: Bacteria; Pseudomonadati; Pseudomonadota; Gammaproteobacteria; Enterobacterales.
UUGAGGCGUGGCUUCCGGAGCUAACGCGUUAAGUCGACCGCCUGGGGAGUACGGCCGCAAGGUUAAAACUCAAAUGAAUUGACGGGGGCCCGCACAAGCGGUGGAGCAUGUGGUUUAAUUCGAUGCAACGCGAAGAACCUUACCUACUCUUGACAUCCACAGAAUUCGCUAGAGAUAGCUUAGUGCCUUCGGGAACUGUGAGACAGGUGCUGCAUGGCUGUCGUCAGCUCGUGUUGUGAAAUGUUGGGUUAAGUCCCGCAACGAGCGCAACCCUUAUCCUUUGUUGCCAGCACGUAAUGGUGGGAACUCAAAGGAGACUGCCGGUGAUAAACCGGAGGAAGGUGGGGAUGACGUCAAGUCAUCAUGGCCCUUACGAGUAGGGCUACACACGUGCUACAAUGGCGUAUACAAAGAGAAGCGAACUCGCGAGAGCCAGCGGACCUCAUAAAGUACGUCGUAGUCCGGAUCGGAGUCUGCAACUCGACUCCGUGAAGUCGGAAUCGCUAGUAAUCGUAGAUCAGAAUGCUACGGUGAAUACGUUCCCGGGCCUUGCACUCCCCGCCCGUCAAAA